This 507-nucleotide long non-coding RNA is filed under the name Homo sapiens (human). Its description in RNAcentral is "non-protein coding lnc-RMDN3-3:1". The record is from RNAcentral. Lineage: Eukaryota; Metazoa; Chordata; Mammalia; Primates; Hominidae.
GCUGGGAGUUCCUGGCAGCAAGAGUUUCCCACAGGGACAGGAGUGGCCUGGUUACUGAAUAGGGUAGUGGAAAAAAACCCAGGAGGAAGAAGCAGCACUUACUGGAGCCAGAAUGAGGGCAGCUCCGGCGGAGGCAGAGGUGGACCUUCUCGGGCUGGGUGAGGCUGGCGAGCGCUCCUUCCACAGGCAGGCAGCAGAUGGCCCGAGCUCACUCGCCCUGGUGUUUGCCUGGCUCCUAUAUGUCUCUGGGGCAGUGUGGGGCCGUGCCCUCUCUGCCAGUGGCUCCCGGACUCUGAUGAGUGGCCUGGCUGUUUGUGGCGGUGGAGAUGUGUUUUUGUUCUCAGCUGACUCAGUCAGGGCUCAGUGCUGUCAGAGAGGGACUACGAGAGCCUCGUCAUGAUGCGCAUGCGCCAGGCGGCCGAGCGGCAACAGCUGAUCGCACGGAUGCAGCAGGAAGACCAGGAGGGGCCGCCUACGUAGCCCCAGCUCCAGCCAUCCACCCCUCAG